GGGGUGGAGCAGUCUGGUAGCUCGUCGGGCUCAUAACCCGAAGGUCGCAGGUUCAAAUCCUGCCUCCGCAA
Molecule: transfer RNA, 71 nt
Filed under: Bacillus obstructivus
Lineage: Bacteria; Bacillati; Bacillota; Bacilli; Caryophanales; Bacillaceae
Description: tRNA-Met
Rfam family: tRNA
About the family: Transfer RNA (tRNA) molecules are approximately 80 nucleotides in length. Their secondary structure includes four short double-helical elements and three loops (D, anti-codon, and T loops).
Source: RNAcentral